UGGGGGCCCUAAUGGAGGUUAUGCAAAAGAGGAGCAAAGCUAUCCAUUCCUCUGAUGACGAUGAGGAUGAAGACGAAGAUGAUGACUUUGAGGAUGAUGAAGAGUGGGAUGACUAGUGAAGAUGCCCCCCACCCACCUCUCCCAGCCUACCACUAACACUAAAACUCUUCCAGAACCCCACUACAUCAUGUAAUGUAAAUGUUGUUUGAGUUUCCAGUAUAUUUAUUUUUGCUUUUAAAAAAUGAUAAUUCCAGUUAAUCUGUGCAAUACCUCAUCAAUGAAGCUGUUCUGUUCAUCACACACCGUAGAGGUAAAAGCUUCUCUCCUCCUCCUGCGUCAGUAGAAAGCACUUAAUGCACCGUUAGCUCAGAGCACAGCCUGGACCUGAGCUCCAGAAGGAAACGCUGCAGGGAAGACUUGGAGGUGGGCGGAGCUUCCUGGGAAGUCAUUCUGUUACAUUUCAUUGCCUGUUUCAGAAACUUUAAAUGGACAAUAUUCCAAGCAAUUGGCAGGAAAAUGUUUGAGUGUAUUGCUCUGAAAUGCAUAAUUAACACUUCCUAUCAUAUUUGUCCUCUAUUUAUUUUCUGUCUUUUCAUCUCCUAUUGAAGACAUGACCAUGACCAAACCUUGUGUAGAUCUUUAACUUAGAUUUUUCACAUGAUUAAAAGGUUUUGUUGUUUUUGUCUCGUUUUGCACAGUUUCUAAAAUAGUUUGUUUGGUUUCUUGUUUUGUGUGUUUGUAAUAGUAGCAUACAUACAGUAGGAUAGACAGUAGGAUACUCUGACAUUAAUGUAACAAGACAAUGUUUGAGUUACAGACACACAUGCAUGUAUAGCUGAUAUAGCAGGACUUUCUUUCUUUUGCAACAUUCCAUUAUCCUGUCAGGAAGUUACACCAUCAUCAUACUGUUUUCAUUUCAUUUAAAGGGAACAAGUAAAAAUAUUUGUUAUUUACUCUUUUUUUUUUUUAAGAAACUGAUUUUUAUGCAAUGCAACUGUAAAUGCCCUCCUUUUGCAAAUACUAGACAAAGCAAAUAAUGAUGAACCAAAUGUGGCAUUUUCAAGCAGCUUGUGGCUUUGGCGAUGCCUGUGAUGGUUUGUCAGAGAAACAGUGUGAAGAAGUAACCGACACUUGUUUCUCUGUCUGUCCUUUAAGUUCUUAUUGUCCUCCAGGGACCUAAUGCUGCAUCAAGAAGCCAAGUUACUGACAUAAAGCCUG
Long non-coding RNA from Xiphophorus hellerii (green swordtail), 1218 nucleotides. RefSeq lists it as uncharacterized. NCBI's taxonomy places the organism in Eukaryota, Metazoa, Chordata, Actinopteri, Cyprinodontiformes, Poeciliidae. The record is from RefSeq and is a predicted model, not a curated record. The transcript has 2 exons.